RNAcentral lists this transfer RNA (68 nucleotides) under Coquillettidia linealis. Its description in RNAcentral is "tRNA-Thr". Lineage: Eukaryota; Metazoa; Arthropoda; Insecta; Diptera; Culicidae. RNAcentral also lists the same sequence under 1 other name. The record is from RNAcentral.
GUUUUAAUAGUUUAAAAUACUAAAACAUUAGUCUUGUAAACUAAAAAUAAUAAUUAUAUUUUAAAACU